This 454-nucleotide ribosomal RNA is filed under the name uncultured bacterium. RNAcentral describes it as "bacterial SSU rRNA". It matches the Rfam family "Bacterial small subunit ribosomal RNA", at positions 340 to 786 of the family's 1533-position model. The record is from RNAcentral.
UACGAAGGCAGCAGUGGGGAAUAUUGCACAAUGGGCGCAAGCCUGAUGCAGCCAUGCCGCGUGUAUGAAGAAGGCCUUCGGGUUGUAAAGUACUUUUCAGCGGGGAGGAAGGCGGUGAAGUUAAUAGCUUCACCGAUUGACGUUACCCGCAGAAGAAGCACCGGCUAACUCCGUGCCAGCAGCCGCGGUAAUACGGAGGGUGCAAGCGUUAAUCGGAAUUACUGGGCGUAAAGCGCACGCAGGCGGUCUGUCAAGUCGGAUGUGAAAUCCCCCGGGCUUAACCUGGGAACUGCAUUCGAACUGGCAGGCUAGAGUCUUGUAGAGGGGGUAGAAUUCCAGGUGUAGCGGUGAAAUGCGUAGAGAUCUGGAGGAAUACCGGUGGCGAAGGCGGCCCCUGGGACAAAGCUGACGCUCAGGUGCGAAAGCGUGGGGAGCAAACGAGGAUUAGGAUACC